This is a long non-coding RNA of Oreochromis niloticus (Nile tilapia), 1254 nucleotides long. Lineage: Eukaryota; Metazoa; Chordata; Actinopteri; Cichliformes; Cichlidae. The record is from Ensembl.
AUGCUUAGCCUCGUCCACCCCAGCUGUAAAACUCAGAAACCAGUCUUACUUGUUGUCAUCUAUCGUCCACCUGGGCCUUACACAGAGUUUCUCUCUGAUUUCUCAGACUUUUUAUCUGAUUUAGUGCUCAGCUCAGAUAAAAUAAUUAUUGUGGGUGAUUUUAACAUCCAUGUAGAUGCUAAAAAUGACAGCCUCAACAUGGCAUUUAAUCUGUUAUUAGACUCAAUUGGCUUCUCUCAAAAUGUAAAAGAACCCACCCACCACUUUAAUCACACUCUAGAUCUUGUUUUAACAUAUGGCAUAGAAACUGAACAUUUAACAGUGUUUCCUGAAAACCCUCUGCUGUCUGAUCAUUUCCUGAUAACAUUUACAUUUACAAUAAUUGAUUACACAGCAGUGGAGAGUAGACUUUAUCACAGUAGAUGUCUUUCUGAAAGUGCUGUAACUAAGUUUAAGAAUAUAAUCCACCCACUGUUAUCAUCUUCAAUGCCCUGUACCAACAUAGAGCAGAGCAGCUAUCUGAACGCUACUCCAACAGAGGUCGAUUAUCUUGUUAAUAAUUUUACCUCCUCACUACGUACGACUCUGGAUACUGUAGCUCCUGUGAAAACUAAGGUCUCAAAUCCGAAGUACCUGACUCCGUGGUAUAAUUCUCAAACACGUAGUCUAAAGCAGAUAACUCGUAAGCUGGAGAGGAAAUGGCGUGUCACAAAUUUAGAGGAUCAUCAUUUAGCCUGGAGAAAUAGUUUGCUGCUUUAUAAGAAAGCCCUCCGUAAAGCCAGAACAUCUUACUAUUCGUCACUGAUUGAAGAAAAUAAGAACAACCCCAGGUUUCUCUUCAGCACUGUAGCCAGGCUGACAAACAGUCAGAGCUCUACUGAGCCAACAAUCCCUUUAACGUUAACCAGUAAUGACUUCAUGAACUUCUUCACAAAUAAAAUUUUUAUCAUUAGAGAAAAAAUUACCAAUAAUCAUCCCACAGAUGUAAUAAUAUCUACAGCUACUUUUAGUACCAUCAAUGUUAAGUUAGACUCUUUUUCUCCAAUUGAUCUUUCUGAGUUCACUUCAAUAAUUACUUCCUCCAAACCAUCAACGUGUCUUUUAGACCACAUUCCUACAAAACUGCUCAAAGAAGUCCUGCCAUUAAUUAAUUCUUCGAUCUUAAAUAUGAUCAACCUAUCUCUAAUAAUCAGCUAUGUACCACAGGCCUUCAAGGUGGCUGUAGUUAAACCUUUACUUAAAAAGCAUUUCUAG